This is a long non-coding RNA of Ostrea edulis (European flat oyster), 513 nucleotides long. RefSeq lists it as uncharacterized. NCBI's taxonomy places the organism in Eukaryota, Metazoa, Mollusca, Bivalvia, Ostreida, Ostreidae. The transcript has 2 exons. The record is from RefSeq and is a predicted model, not a curated record.
UGCAAGUACAAAACAUGACAAAAAAUCAGGGCUUACAGUGUAUUUAAGCAACAUUAGCAUUUACAUGAGUGUGGGAAGUGCUUGCACUGAAAUGUUCCAAUGGAAGACAAAGUAAACGUGUGAAUGUGCUAGAUGCAUCUCCAUGUCAACAGUAGGUGAACGUUAUUUGCUGUAAAGAAAUGGGGACAAUUCCGGCUGAAGCCGACAUGGUCUAUACGCUUCCAUGUAUGAAUAUCUACAGAAUGUUGGACCUUUAGAUAAAAAUCAACCUUUCAAUGAAUAUGUCAAUUGUUAGCAUGCUGACAAUUUAUUAGAUGGAUGAGGCAUUUUCUUGGGAGGGGGUGGGCGCCGAAAGAUUUUGCUUGCAUGUGUUGUAACAAAGAUCAAGGAACCCAUCCUAUCAGAACAGUACUGUGGUUUCAGAUAUGCAUUGUAAAAUGUAUAUUGUACAACAUAAUACAUAUAGAUAAAGUACAUAUUGUAAUGGAUUAACAAAUAAAGAUUAUAAAAAUA